GACGAAGGAUGCAAGCGUUAUCCGGAUUCAUUGGGUUUAAAGGGAGCGUAGGUGGCCUUAUAAGUCAGUGGUGAAAUCCUGUUGCUUAACAGCAGAAUUGCCAUUGAUACUGUAGGGCUUGAGUGUGGUAGAGGCAAUCGGAAUUCCAGGUGUAGCGGUGAAAUGCGUAGAUAUCUGGAAGAACACCGGUGGCGCAAGCGGAUUGCUGGGCCAUAACUGACACUGAGGAACGAAAGCUAGGGGAGCGAAUGGG
This 253-nucleotide ribosomal RNA is filed under the name uncultured bacterium. RNAcentral's name for it is "partial 16S ribosomal RNA". It matches the Rfam family "Bacterial small subunit ribosomal RNA", at positions 524 to 776 of the family's 1533-position model. The record is from RNAcentral.